CUCUUGUCAUCCAAAUUCUUCCCUAUAAUCCAAACAAAUUAUAACAAUCUCAUAAACAAAAAAAUCAAGAGGCAAAGGGAAUAAGAAUGAAUAAUUUAGGAAAGUAUUGAUGUCAACCAAUAAAAAAAAAGUAUGAUAAUCUAUGACCCCAUCAAUUCGAUUCAAUUCAAGCAUACAUAGAAGUUAAUCUUCAGUCCUCAGUAUCUGAAACCCAAUAUAAACCAAACCCACAACUUUGCAAAGUCCUAGCCACUUCUUUGGAUGCCUCCUCGACCCCCAAUAACAAAAAUCAAAGCAACAAAAACCGAUUAUUAACAAUCACAAAUAAAAUCAAUACUAACCAUCCAAAAUCGACCAAAUUAGGACGGAAAAGGAGCAAAAUAAACCCAUUAAACUCAGAAAAUAAACCUCCAAAAAGAUUACCUUUUGAGCAUCUCUAGGUAUUCCAUAUCCGCUAUAAUACAUUUG
Molecule: unclassified non-coding RNA, 468 nt
Filed under: Hevea brasiliensis (rubber tree)
Lineage: Eukaryota; Viridiplantae; Streptophyta; Magnoliopsida; Malpighiales; Euphorbiaceae
Source: RNAcentral